UACGGAGGAUGCAAGCGUUAUCCGGAUUUAUUGGGCGUAAAGCGUCCGCAGGUGGCUAUUCAAGUCUGCUGUCAAAGCUCGGAGCUUAACUCCGAAUCGGCGGUGGAAACUGAACAGCUAGAGUGCAGUAGGGGUAGAGGGAAUUCCCAGUGUAGCGGUGAAAUGCGUAGAGAUUGGGAAGAACACCGGUGGCGAAAGCGAUCUACUGGACUGCAACCGACACUCAGGGACGAAAGCUAGGGGAGCGAAUGGG
RNAcentral lists this ribosomal RNA (253 nucleotides) under uncultured bacterium. RNAcentral describes it as "partial 16S ribosomal RNA". It matches the Rfam family "Bacterial small subunit ribosomal RNA", at positions 524 to 776 of the family's 1533-position model. The record is from RNAcentral.